Molecule: ribosomal RNA, 253 nt
Filed under: uncultured bacterium
Lineage: Bacteria
Description: partial 16S ribosomal RNA
Rfam family: Bacterial small subunit ribosomal RNA
Source: RNAcentral
UACGUAGGAGGCGAGCGUUAUCCGGAGUUACUGGGCGUAAAGAGCGCGCAGGCGGUCGUUCAAGUCGCGUGUGAAAGCCCCCGGCUCAACUGGGGAGGGUCACGCGAUACUGAUCGACUCGAAGGCAGGAGAGGGUAGUGGAAUUCCCGGUGUAGUGGUGAAAUGCGUAGAUAUCGGGAGGAACACCAGUGGCGAAGGCGACUACCUGGCCUGUUCUUGACGCUGAGGCGCGAAAGCUAGGGGAGCAAACGGG